CCUACGGGCGGCAGCAGUGAGGAAUAUUGGUCAAUGGACGAGAGUCUGAACCAGCCAAGUAGCGUGAAGGAUGACUGCCCUAUGGGUUGUAAACUUCUUUUAUAUGGGAAUAAAAUGUUCCACGUGUGGGAUUUUGUAUGGACCAUAUGAAUAAGGAUCGGCUAACUCCGUGCCAGCAGCCGCGGUAAUACGGAGGAUCCGAGCGUUAUCCGGAUUUAUUGGGUUUAAAGGGAGCGUAGGUGGAUUGUUAAGUCAGUUGUGAAAGUUUGCGGCUCAACCGUAAAAUUGCAGUUGAAACUGGCAGUCUUGAGUACAGUAGAGGUGGGCGGAAUUCGUGGUGUAGCGGUGAAAUGCUUAGAUAUCACGAAGAACUCCGAUUGCGAAGGCAGUUCACUGGACUGCAACUGACACUGAGGCUCGAAAGUGUGGGUAUCAAACAGGAUUAGAUACCCUAGUAGUC
Molecule: ribosomal RNA, 460 nt
Filed under: uncultured bacterium
Lineage: Bacteria
Description: partial 16S ribosomal RNA
Rfam family: Bacterial small subunit ribosomal RNA
Source: RNAcentral